This 494-nucleotide ribosomal RNA is filed under the name uncultured bacterium. RNAcentral describes it as "partial 16S ribosomal RNA". It matches the Rfam family "Bacterial small subunit ribosomal RNA", at positions 28 to 507 of the family's 1533-position model. The record is from RNAcentral.
GACGAACGCUGGCGGCGUGCUUAACACAUGCAAGUCGAACGGAAAGGCCUGCUUUCCCUUGUGGAUUGCGGGUACUCGAGUGGCGAACGGGUGAGUAACACGUGAGUGAUCUGCCCCCAACUUGGGUAUAAGCCUGGGAAACUGGGUCUAAUUCCCGAUAGGACUGCAGGGUGGUGCCUGUGGUGGAAAACGAUUUUCUAGUGGUUGGGGAUGAGCUCGCGGCCUAUCAGCUUGUUGGUGGGGUAAUGGCCUACCAAGGCGGCGACGGGUAGCCGGCCUGAGAGGGUGGACGGACACAUUGGGACUGAGAUACGGCCCAGACUCCUACGGGAGGCAGCAGUGGGGAAUAUUGCACAAUGGGCGGAAGCCUGAUGCAGCGAUGCCGCGUGGGGGAUGACGGCCUUCGGGUUGUAAACUCCUUUCGACCGCGAGGAAGCCACCUGGUUGGAAGGGUGGUGACGGUAGUGGUAGAAGAAGCACCGGCUAACUACGUG